AAUCAACGCUGGCGGCGUGCCUCAGACAUGCAAGUCGAACGCGAAACGUCCCCUUCGGGGGACAAGUAGAGUGGCGCACGGGUGAGUAACACGUAGGUAAUCUACCUUUGGAUGGGGAAUAACAACCGGAAACGGUUGCUAAUACCGCAUAAUGCAGCGGCACCUAAUGGUGACAGUUGUUAAAGCGGGGAUCGAAAGACCUCGCGUCUGAAGAGGAGCCUGCGGCGGAUUAGCUUAGNGGUAAGGUAACGGCUUACCAAGGCGACGAUCCGUAGCCGGCCUGAGGAGGGCGGUCGGCCACACUGACACUGACAUACGGGUCAGA
Molecule: ribosomal RNA, 325 nt
Filed under: uncultured bacterium
Lineage: Bacteria
Description: bacterial SSU rRNA
Rfam family: Bacterial small subunit ribosomal RNA
Source: RNAcentral